CGUAGGGUGCAAGCGUUAAUCGGAAUUACUGGGCGUAAAGCGUGCGCAGGCGGUUAUGCAAGACAGAUGUGAAAUCCCCGGGCUCAACCUGGGAACUGCAUUUGUGACUGCAUAGCUAGAGUACGGUAGAGGGGGAUGGAAUUCCGCGUGUAGCAGUGAAAUGCGUAGAUAUGCGGAGGAACACCGAUGGCGAAGGCAAUCCCCUGGACCUGUACUGACGCUCAUGCACGAAAGCGUGGGGAGCAAACAGGAUUAGAUACCCUGGUAGUCCACGCCCUAAACGAUGUCAACUGGUUGUUGGGAGGGUUUCUUCUCAGUAACGUAGCUAACGCGUGAAGUUGACCGCCUGGGGAGUACGGCCGCAAGGUUG
RNAcentral lists this ribosomal RNA (370 nucleotides) under uncultured organism. RNAcentral's name for it is "bacterial SSU rRNA". It matches the Rfam family "Bacterial small subunit ribosomal RNA", at positions 526 to 896 of the family's 1533-position model. The record is from RNAcentral.